AUUGAACGCUGGCGGCAUGCCUUACACAUGCAAGUCGAACGGCAGCACGGGAGCAAUCCUGGUGGCGAGUGGCGUACGGGUGAGUAAUAUAUCGGAACGUGCCCAGUCGUGGGGGAUAACGUAGCGAAAGCUACGCUAAUACCGCAUACGAUCUAUGGAUGAAAGCGGGGGAUCGCAAGACCUCGCGCGAUUGGAGCGGCCGAUAUCAGAUUAGGUAGUUGGUGAGGUAAAGGCGCACCAAGCCGACGAUCUGUAGCUGGUCUGAGAGGACGACCAGCCACACUGGGACUGAGACACGGCCCAGACUCCUACGGGAGGCAGCAGUGGGGAAUUUUGGACAAUGGGCGCAAGCCUGAUCCAGCAAUGCCGCGUGCAGGAUGAAGGCCUUCGGGUUGUGAACUGCUUUUGUACGGAACGAAACGGCGAGCUCUAAUACAGUUUGCUAAUGACGGUACCGUAAGAAUAAGCACCGGCUAACUACGUGCCAGCCGCCGCGGUAA
This 500-nucleotide ribosomal RNA is filed under the name uncultured bacterium. RNAcentral describes it as "partial 16S ribosomal RNA". It matches the Rfam family "Bacterial small subunit ribosomal RNA", at positions 30 to 523 of the family's 1533-position model. The record is from RNAcentral.